Molecule: ribosomal RNA, 756 nt
Filed under: uncultured bacterium
Lineage: Bacteria
Description: bacterial SSU rRNA
Rfam family: Bacterial small subunit ribosomal RNA
Source: RNAcentral
UUNUGAACUGGGUGACUAGAGUGUNUCAGAGGGAGGUAGAAUUCCACGUGUAGCAGUGAAAUGCGUAGAGAUGUGGAGGANUACCGAUGGCGAAGGCAGCCUCCUGGGAUAACACUGACGUUCAUGCCCGAAAGCGUGGGUAGCAAACAGGAUUAGAUACCCUGGUAGUCCACGCCNUAAACGAUGUCGAUUAGCUGUUGGGCAGCAUGAUUGCUUGGUAGCGAAGCUAACGCGUGAAAUCGACCGCCUGGGGAGUACGGUCGCAAGAUUAAAACUCAAAGGAAUUGACGGGGACCCGCACAAGCGGUGGAUGAUGUGGAUUAAUUCGAUGCAACGCGAAGAACCUUACCUGGUCUUGACAUGUACGGAACCCUCCAGAGACGGAGGGGUGCCUUCGGGAGCCGUAACACAGGUGCUGCAUGGCUGUCGUCAGCUCGUGUCGUGAGAUGUUGGGUUAAGUCCCGCAACGAGCGCAACCCUUGUCAUUAGUUGCCAUCAUUAAGUUGGGCACUCUAAUGAGACUGCCGGUGACAAGCCGGAGGAGGGUGGGGAUGACGUCAAGUCCUCAUGGCCCUUAUGACCAGGGCUUCACACGUCAUACAAUGGUCGGUACAGAGGGUAGCCAAGCCGCGAGGUGGAGCCAAUCUCACAAAACCGAUCGUAGUCCGGAUUGCACUCUGCAACUCGAGUGCAUGAAGUCGGAAUCGCUAGUAAUCGCAGGUCAGCAUACUGCGGUGAAUACGUUCCCGGGUCUUG